AACGAACGCUGGCGGCAUGCCUAACACAUGCAAGUCGAACGAGACCUUCGGGUCUAGUGGCGCACGGGUGCGUAACACGUGGGAAUCUGCCCUUUGCUUCGGAAUAACAGUUAGAAAUGACUGCUAAUACCGGAUGAUGUCGAAAGACCAAAGAUUUAUCGGCAAAGGAUGAGCCCGCGUAGGAUUAGGUAGUUGGUGGGGUAAAGGCCUACCAAGCCGACGAUCCUUAGCUGGUCUGAGAGGAUGAUCAGCCACACUGGGACUGAGACACGGCCCAGACUCCUACGGGAGGCAGCAGUGGGGAAUAUUGGACAAUGGACGAAAGCCUGAUCCAGCAAUGCCGCGUGAGUGAUGAAGGCCUUAGGGUUGUAAAGCUCUUUUACCAGGGAUGAUAAUGACAGUACCUGGAGAAUAAGCUCCGGCUAACUCCGUG
This 433-nucleotide ribosomal RNA is filed under the name uncultured bacterium. RNAcentral's name for it is "partial 16S ribosomal RNA". It matches the Rfam family "Bacterial small subunit ribosomal RNA", at positions 29 to 507 of the family's 1533-position model. The record is from RNAcentral.